Molecule: ribosomal RNA, 446 nt
Filed under: uncultured bacterium
Lineage: Bacteria
Description: bacterial SSU rRNA
Rfam family: Bacterial small subunit ribosomal RNA
Source: RNAcentral
ACUCCUACGGGAGGCAGCAGUGGGGAAUCUUGGACAAUGGGCGCAAGCCUGAUCCAGCCAUGCCGCGUGAGUGAUGAAGGCCCUAGGGUCGUAAAGCUCUUUCGCCAGGGAUGAUAAUGACAGUACCUGGUAAAGAAACCCCGGCUAACUCCGUGCCAGCAGCCGCGGUAAUACGGAGGGGUUAGCGUUGUUCGGUAAUUACUGGGCGUAAAGCGCGCGUAGGCGGAUUAGUCAGUUAGAGGUGAAAUCCCAGGGCUCAACCCUGGAACUGCCUUAAUACUGCUAGUCUUGAGUUCGAGAGAGGUGAGUGGAAUUCCGAGUGUAGAGGUGAAAUUCGUAGAUAUUCGGAGGAACACCAGUGGCGAAGGCGGCUCACUGGCUCGAUACUGACGCUGAGGUGCGAAAGUGUGGGAGCAAACAGGAUUAGAUACCCUGGUAGCGACUGA